UGCUAAUACCGGAUGAUGUCUUCGGACCAAAGAUUUAUCGGCAAGGGAUGAGCCCGCGUAGGAUUAGGUAGUUGGUGGGGUAAAGGCCUACCAAGCCGACGAUCCUUAGCUGGUCUGAGAGGAUGAUCAGCCACACUGGGACUGAGACACGGCCCAGACUCCUACGGGAGGCAGCAGUGGGGAAUAUUGGACAAUGGGCGCAAGCCUGAUCCAGCAAUGCCGCGUGAGUGAUGAAGGCCCUCGGGUCGUAAAGCUCUUUUACCAGGGAUGAUAAUGACAGUACCUGGAGAAUAAGCUCCGGCUAACUCCGUGCCAGCAGCCGCGGUAAUACGGAGGGAGCUAGCGUUGUUCGGAAUUACUGGGCGUAAAGCGCACGUAGGCGGCUACUCAAGUCAGAGGUGAAAGCCCGGGGCUCAACCCCGGAACUGCCUUUGAAACUAGGU
RNAcentral lists this ribosomal RNA (443 nucleotides) under Novosphingobium aromaticivorans. Its description in RNAcentral is "bacterial SSU rRNA". It matches the Rfam family "Bacterial small subunit ribosomal RNA", at positions 161 to 638 of the family's 1533-position model. Lineage: Bacteria; Pseudomonadati; Pseudomonadota; Alphaproteobacteria; Sphingomonadales; Sphingomonadaceae. The record is from RNAcentral.